Molecule: ribosomal RNA, 301 nt
Filed under: uncultured bacterium
Lineage: Bacteria
Description: partial 16S ribosomal RNA
Rfam family: Bacterial small subunit ribosomal RNA
Source: RNAcentral
CAGUCGCCGCGGGAAUACGAAGGGGGCUAGCGUUGCUCGGAAUGACUGGGCGUAAAGGGCGCGUAGGCGGUUUAUACAGUCAGAUGUGAAAUUCCUGGGCUCAACCUGGGGACUGCAUUUGAUACGUAUGGACUUGAGUGGAGAAGAGGGUCGUGGAAUUUCCAGUGUAGAGGUGAAAUUCGUAGAUAUUGGAAAGAACACCGGUGGCGAAGGCGGCGACCUGGUCUUUAACUGACGCUGAGGCGCGAAAGCGUGGGGAGCAAACAGGAUUAGAUACCCGAGUAGUCCCUGUCUCUUAAAC